GGAUGAGUGUAUGACUGAGAUAGCAUGGGGGUACCUCCUAGGGCUUCCCAUAUCUCUUAGCUGCUCACUGGGUUUUCAACUCUUCCUGGCUUCCUUCUGUUCCAGAGCCUGAGUUCUAAGUGUCAGAAAUAAUGGACUGGUGCAUAGGCAACACUGAGAUCUGCACACGUCUAACAAGCUCUCCAGUGAUGCCAAUGCUGCUCAUCUGAGGACCACACUUUGAGCACCAAAGAGCUAGAGUUUUCGCUUCUGCCUACCCCUACUUCCAAGGGAGCCAACAGACUCUGAGGCCUGUGUUCACUCCUUCUCUAGCAGAGCCAACAGACCCAGGUGGAGAAAAUCUACAUGCAACAAGAUUCAUAAGGAACUAGAAGAGAGGGGAAGUGCCUUUUCAGAAUACGGAGGGAAGUGGUGACACCAGUAGGAUGAAGGGAUAAAAGAGGAGAGGACUGUAGGCAUUGCUGGAGAGAAUGGAGAGAAUGUAGGACAGCAGGCAGGGCUCUGUGCUUGGCAUCCUUUCUCCAGAGGCCCCGGUGGGAAGGAGGUCUUCCUCCUUCAAGUAGUGCAAAGGAAUGAAGUAGUUGCAUUGGAGGUUACAGGGGUACUAGGUGGCAUGCCCUUUUAAGACCAUGUGUCCUUGAGGCUCCUUGUCUAGGCUACGUGCCAACACUCAUGAUGAUAACACAUGAUAAUAAUCCUGGGCUUGGUUAACCCAGCUGUUUUUGAAUGGGUGAGUUAGCACAAAGUCCCUCAUGGUCUGAGGGAACACGGAAGCCCUUGGGGAGGCGGGGGGCUCUGGUCCUUGGAAUGCAGGUCAUAUAGGGACAGUCCCCCUUGGUAAGCACACAGCCUUUGUUCCUUUGCCUACUUAAGCAAGCAUCUCUCAGGGAGCAGUAGCAGGUGCACAUCUCGGGUCCACUGGACUUUCCCUGUAAGUAACUCCCCGAUAAAAACUUAUGUCUCGUUCACCAUCUCUGGGUCUUUUCUUUGGUCUCUUGGCAACCUGUCCUGCACUGCUCACCUAGCUGGGCAUGUAGCAGAACAGAGGCUCGGUGACCAGUCUUAUGUCCCCCACUUCCUAGUCCUUUGUAAUUGGCACUUUUCACUUGAAAUCUUGAAUGAAGAACUACUUAAACCAUUCUUAG
Molecule: long non-coding RNA, 1145 nt
Filed under: Equus asinus (donkey)
Lineage: Eukaryota; Metazoa; Chordata; Mammalia; Perissodactyla; Equidae
Description: lncRNA (ENSEASG00005028699.1)
Source: RNAcentral